RNAcentral lists this ribosomal RNA (250 nucleotides) under uncultured prokaryote. RNAcentral describes it as "partial 16S ribosomal RNA". It matches the Rfam family "Bacterial small subunit ribosomal RNA", at positions 524 to 773 of the family's 1533-position model. The record is from RNAcentral.
UACGUAGGGGGCGAGCGUUGUCCGGAAUGACUGGGCGUAAAGGGCGCGUAGGCGGUCUUGUAAGUUAGGAGUGAAAUUCCAGUUUUCAAGGUUGGAACUGCUUUUAAUACUGCAGGGCUUGAGUGCAGAAGAGGUAAGCGGAAUUCCCAGUGUAGCGGUGAAAUGCGUAGAGAUUGGGAAGAACACCAGUGGCGAAGGCGGCUUACUGGGCUGUAACUGACGCUGAGGCGCGAAAGCGUGGGGAGCGAAC